Molecule: ribosomal RNA, 210 nt
Filed under: uncultured bacterium
Lineage: Bacteria
Description: partial 16S ribosomal RNA
Rfam family: Bacterial small subunit ribosomal RNA
Source: RNAcentral
UACGGAGGGUGCAAGCGUUGUCCGGAUUUAUUGGGUUUAAAGGGUGCGUAGGCGGUUUAUUAAGUCAGUGGUGAAAGACGGUCGCUCAACGAUUGCAGUGCCAUUGAUACUGGUAGACUUGAGUGAGAUUGAGGUAGCUGGAAUGGAUAGUGUAGCGGUGAAAUGCAUAGAUAUUAUCCAGAACACCAAUUGCGUAGGCAAGUUACUAAG